RNAcentral lists this ribosomal RNA (340 nucleotides) under uncultured bacterium. Its description in RNAcentral is "bacterial SSU rRNA". It matches the Rfam family "Bacterial small subunit ribosomal RNA", at positions 330 to 687 of the family's 1533-position model. The record is from RNAcentral.
AAAACACCCCUACGGGAGGCAGCAGUGGGGAAUAUUGGACAAUGGGCGAAAGCCUGAUCCAGCAAUGCCGCGUGUGUGAAGAAGGUCUUCGGAUCGUAAAGCACUUUCGACAGGGACGAUGAUGACGGUACCUGUAGAAGAAGCCCCGGCUAACUUCGUGCCAGCAGCCGCGGUAAUACGAAGGGGGCUAGCGUUACUCGGAAUUACUGGGCGUAAAGGGCGCGUAGGCGGCUUGGCCAGUCAGGCGUGAAAUUCCUGGGCUUAACCUGGGGACUGCGCUUGAUACUGCCAGGCUUGAGGCCGAGAGAGGGUGGUGGAAUUCCCAGUGUAGAGGUGAAAU